Long non-coding RNA from Setaria italica (foxtail millet), 891 nucleotides. RefSeq lists it as uncharacterized. Lineage: Eukaryota; Viridiplantae; Streptophyta; Magnoliopsida; Poales; Poaceae. The record is from RefSeq and is a predicted model, not a curated record. The transcript has 2 exons.
ACGUGUGCCGAGGUCUGGAAAGAAAAACGGCAACUAUCGAAGCGUCCUCUCGCUCGAUCGACUCGGCGGAUUCCAUCAGCGGCCGUCGGCGGCGAUCUCCUCAAGGAUGGCUGGGGAUCGGAUCCACGGGCAACAGCAAGAGGAUCCGCACGGCCGUCGCAGCUGACCUCGGGGUUCCCCUCGGCGUCGCAGCCGCCCUCGCGUCCUCCCCAGUCCCCGUGCUCUCCUGCUGCUGGGCUGGCGUCGAGCGGAGUUGGAACCAAGGUCGAUUUUGCCUUCCCCUUCUCGAUGCUGAAUAUGCAGACUGAUAAGGAAGCAAUCAAGAGUUACAUGCUGAUGCUCACCCUGAAAAAUUACUCUGCUCAUAAUUAAGGAAGUGGAAGCGCAACACCAACUGUUGAUAUGCAAAAAAUUACAGGAAUAUCAUGGCAUGAGCUUACUCGCGCGUACCAUGAAUUGAAGCAUUUGUACAGACAUGUUGUCACUCAAGGCUCAUGAUUAUCCAAAGUCUCAUGUUUAGAAAGGAUCGGAGUAGCAUAAAUAACACAAGAACACAAGGAUGAUGCCUAAGCUGCAGCAGCGACACGAGAUGCAGGGCAAACAGUUAAUUCUUGUAAAUUAUUAACCCCUUGCUUUUGGCUUCCUGCCCUAAUUCUCCUCCCGUCGUCAUCGGUGAUCGACUCUUGAUCCUCUGUGUAGCCCUUGGUGAGGUACUGCUGGAUCAGCCCCACUUCGUAGGCCAUGAUCUUGUCAGUGAUAGCCCUUUUCUGCAUUUGAGCAAACAUAUCUGAAUUUGUUCAGCAAGCAAAGUUCUAGAGAUCGUCGCUUUAGAUAUAUUCGUUAAGAAUGGACGGAGAAGCAAUAAUAGGCUAUACUUUUGAAUUUUUCAUA